Long non-coding RNA from Ostrinia nubilalis (European corn borer), 225 nucleotides. RefSeq lists it as uncharacterized. NCBI's taxonomy places the organism in Eukaryota, Metazoa, Arthropoda, Insecta, Lepidoptera, Crambidae. The transcript has 2 exons. The record is from RefSeq and is a predicted model, not a curated record.
AUUAUGAUACCUGGGUAUAUGGAAGAUAACCAAUUAUUCACUCUGGAUACAACAGCUACAGAAGCCGAUCGGAACACCCCAAGCACCAGUAGCCAAUCCACCGUGGUGCCGCCCACCUUCAGAGUGAAGAGACCGGUGUUUCUUCACCUUCUAAUUUAUCCCUUAAUUAUUUAAUUUAAGAUGUGUGUACAACAUUAAUGAACAAAUAAAGCUACUACAUAAAUA